UAACUCAGCAGGUCAGGCUACACUUUUGGAGAACACGAACAGGUGAUAUUUUAGGUCGGGAGGAAGGGUCCCAACCCAAGUCACCUAUCCUUAUUCUCCAUAUGUGCAGCCUGAUCUGUGAGUUACUCUUGCACUUUGUGUCCUUUUGUGUGAACCAGCAUCUACAGUUCUUUGUUUCUCAAUAUUAUUGUAAAUGUGUGCGUGAAUUUGAAUCUGGAGCAUUACAGAAUCAAUGUACCGAUAUAGGAAUUGAAGAUUUUAUGUACUGAAAAUAUUUUUGUAUUAACAGGAACUUAGGAUAUAUUAAUCUUUUCUGUUACAGCAGGAAAUUCAACCUCUACUAAUCUAAUACACUAAUACAUUUGCACAUAUCCUUUCUGUGCUCUCAAUGCAUGGCAGCUUUUCACAACUAAUAAUGUGCUUCUGGCAUCAGCUGUGCCUUAGGAACAAAAAUGGCCAUCCUAGGUAAAACAGUGAUGAUGUGAAGUGGAGCCUUUCAUCUGAAGCUUGGUCAAUACUUCAACCAGGAACUGUGGGAGGUAUUGUAGCUUCUUAAUUACAGGACAGCCAAGUGAAAACUACCAUCCAACAGAGUUGUUGUGCUUCAACUGCUCAUCUGCCACGUCUAUAUAUUACAAUUGUGACAUCCACUGCAUUUGUUUUACUCAUCAUUUACCCAAAUAUAACAAUGUUAUCAGAAUAUUUGUGUUUUAUGUUUGAACAGAAAAGCAAUAGUUGGUUCAAUUAGCCGUUGUAAAACUGCAUUGAUUUUUGUUAGUCUUUGAAAUUACUAUUCACUUGUGCUCUAUGUAAUCUUAAGUAAUAAAAUACUCCCGGCAACA
Long non-coding RNA from Leucoraja erinaceus (little skate), 842 nucleotides. RefSeq lists it as uncharacterized. The record is from RefSeq and is a predicted model, not a curated record. The transcript has 2 exons. Lineage: Eukaryota; Metazoa; Chordata; Chondrichthyes; Rajiformes; Rajidae.